CCGUGCCUACGGGGGGCAGCAGUAGGGAAUCUUCCACAAUGGACGAAAGUCUGAUGGAGCAACGCCGCGUGAGUGAAGAAGGGUUUCGGCUCGUAAAGCUCUGUUGGUAGUGAAGAAAGAUAGAGGUAGUAACUGGCCUUUAUUUGACGGUAAUUACUUAGAAAGUCACGGCUAACUACGUGCCAGCAGCCGCGGGAAUACGUAGGUGGCAAGCGCUGUCCGGAUUUUUUGGGCGUAAAGCGAGU
RNAcentral lists this ribosomal RNA (245 nucleotides) under uncultured bacterium. RNAcentral describes it as "partial 16S ribosomal RNA". It matches the Rfam family "Bacterial small subunit ribosomal RNA", at positions 333 to 570 of the family's 1533-position model. The record is from RNAcentral.